AAUGAACGCUGGCGGCGUGCUUAACACAUGCAAGUCGCACGAGAACGCUUCUGCUUGCAGGGGCUAGUAAAGUGGCGCACGGGUGAGUAACGCGUGGGUAAUCUACCCUUGGAUUCGGGAUAACCCUUCGAAAGGAGUGCUAAUACCGGAUGAAGUCAUUUAGGCUGUGGUUUAGAUGAUGAAAGGUGGCCUCUCCGAGGAAGCUACCGUUUGGGGAUGAGCCCGCGUACCAUUAGCUUGUUGGUGGGGUAACGGCCUACCAAGGCGACGAUGGUUAGCUGGUCUGAGAGGAUGAUCAGCCACACUGGAACUGACACACGGUCCAGACUCCUACGGGAGGCAGCAGUGAGGAAUUUUGCGCAAUGGGGGGAACCCUGACGCAGCAACGCCGCGUGAGUGAAGAAGGCCUUCGGGUCGUAAAGCUCUGUCGAGUGGGAAGAACCUUCGUAUGUUGAAUAUGCAUACGGACUGACGGUACCACAGAAGGAAGCACCGGCUAACUCCGUGCCAGCAGCCGCGGUAAUACGGAGGGUGCAAGCGUUAUUCGGAAUUAUUGGGCGUAAAGAGCGCGUAGGCGGCUUUGCAAGUCAGGUGUGAAAUCCCGGGGCUCAACCCCGGAAGAGCAUUUGAUACUGUGGAGCUUGAGUAUGGGAGAGGGAAGUGGAAUUCCUGGUGUAGCGGUGAAAUGCGUAGAUAUCAGGAGGAACACCGGUGGCGAAGGCGGCUUCCUGGACCAAUACUGACGCUGAGGCGCGAAGGCGUGGGGAGCAAACA
RNAcentral lists this ribosomal RNA (774 nucleotides) under uncultured Desulfococcus sp. RNAcentral's name for it is "bacterial SSU rRNA". It matches the Rfam family "Bacterial small subunit ribosomal RNA", at positions 28 to 774 of the family's 1533-position model. Lineage: Bacteria; Pseudomonadati; Thermodesulfobacteriota; Desulfobacteria; Desulfobacterales; Desulfococcaceae. The record is from RNAcentral.